CCUCCGCAAGGAAGCAGCUUCCGGAGAGCAAGCUGGUCUGGUGCUGACUGAACUCACGUGUAGCUUCUAUGGGAUCUGUUAAGAUUUGGUGACAGUGUGGAGAAGCACGGCUCUUGCGGCUGCCACUGGCAGACACAAUCCUCGUAGUGUCACUUCUCCAUCACCAGAAGAUGUUGCAGAUUGCAAGCUCUGAAGAAAAGUUUCUGUGAAAUUUUCAAUCAUCCAGAAAUUGAAAUUGCUAGUUUUAUAAAUUCUGACCAAUAAUAUAAAUAAGCACUUUAUGAUUCGAAAGAUUUUUUAAAAUUCUUGAAUGUUUAUUUUUAUUUUGCAUGUUGAACUCCCUCAUGGAAAUAGACAUUUAUGUAAAAAUUGUUAUAAAUAUUGAAUAUUAAAACUGGAU
Long non-coding RNA from Mustela erminea (ermine), 400 nucleotides. RefSeq lists it as uncharacterized. Lineage: Eukaryota; Metazoa; Chordata; Mammalia; Carnivora; Mustelidae. The record is from RefSeq and is a predicted model, not a curated record. The transcript has 3 exons.